CACAUGCAGUCGAACGAAGCUUGACGGAUGAUUUCUUCGGAAUGAAACCAGAUAUGACUUAGUGGCGGACGGGUGAGUAACACGUGAGCAACCUGCCUUUCAGAGGGGGAUAACGGCUGGAAACGGUCGCUAAUACCGCAUGAUGUGUUCGGAUGGCAUCAUCUGAACAUCAAAGAUUUAUCGCUGAAAGAUGGGCUCGCGUCUGAUUAGAUAGUUGGUGGGGUAACGGCCUACCAAGUCUACGAUCAGUAGCCGGACUGAGAGGUUGAACGGCCACAUUGGGACUGAGAUACGGCCCAGACUCCUACGGGAGGCAGCAGUGGGGAAUAUUGCACAAUGGGGGAAACCCUGAUGCAGCAACGCCGCGUGAAGGAUGACGGUUUUCGGAUUGUAAACUUCUUUUCUUAGUGACGAAGACAGUGACGGUAGCUAAGGAAUAAGCAUCGGCUAACUACGUGCCAGCAGCCGCGGUAAUACGUAGGAUGCAAGCGUUAUCCGGAUUUACUGGGUGUAAAGGGAGCGCAGGCGGGACUGCAAGUUGGAUGUGAAAUACCGUGGCUUAACCACGGAACUGCAUCCAAAACUGUAGUUCUUGAGUGAAGUAGAGGCAAGCGGAAUUCCGAGUGUAGCGGUGAAAUGCGUAGAUAUUCGGAGGAACACCAGUGGCGAAGGCGGCUUGCUGGGCUUUAACUGACGCUGAGGCUCGAAAGUGUGGGGAGCAAACAGGAUUAGAUACCCUGGUAGUCCACACUGUAAACGAUGAUAGCUAGGUGUGGGGGGUCUGACCCCUUCCGUGCCGGAGUUAACGCAAUAAGCUAUCCACCUGGGGAGUACGACCGCAAGGUUGAAACUCAAAGGAAUUGACGGGGGCCCGCACAAGCAGUGGAUUAUGUGGUUUAAUUCGAAGCAACGCGAAGAACCUUACCAG
Molecule: ribosomal RNA, 928 nt
Filed under: uncultured bacterium
Lineage: Bacteria
Description: bacterial SSU rRNA
Rfam family: Bacterial small subunit ribosomal RNA
Source: RNAcentral